AUAACCUUUUUUUUAAUAAAAGACAAGUUAUCAAUUCUUAUGAGCUUAAUAUCUGAUACAAGAAACAAUCUGUCCUUCUUCAUAUUAAAGUUAUUUAUAAGAGACGAGGGAGAUUCACAUGCUUGUAUGGGUGCCUUCAAGAGUUCGUCUGGUAUUGCAGUAUCACGAGGAAUUUAGCUCACUUUUC
RNAcentral lists this small nuclear RNA (187 nucleotides) under Lepeophtheirus salmonis (salmon louse). RNAcentral describes it as "U2 spliceosomal RNA". It matches the Rfam family "U2 spliceosomal RNA". Rfam says of the family: U2 is a small nuclear RNA (snRNA) component of the spliceosome (involved in pre-mRNA splicing). Complementary binding between U2 snRNA (in an area lying towards the 5' end but 3' to hairpin I) and the branchpoint sequence (BPS) of the intron results the bulging out of an unpaired adenosine, on the BPS, which initiates a nucleophilic attack at the intronic 5' splice site, thus starting the first of two transesterification reactions that mediate splicing. Lineage: Eukaryota; Metazoa; Arthropoda; Copepoda; Siphonostomatoida; Caligidae. The record is from RNAcentral.